AUACAAGGCACCCAGAAGAAUGUAGAACUUUCAUAACAGAAAGAAAAGAUUUUAGGCAUCUAUUUUACCAUCUCAGAGGAAGAUAGCUGCAGUUGUGUAAAACAGUGAAGGAAGACUUUGAAAGAGCAGAAUCGUGAGGAAUGAUGCCAGUGCCAUUUGCUGAAAAUGAAAGCAGGAACUUGGACCAGAAGUUUUAGAAUCCUGAAUUUAUCAAAGAAAUGUGAAGGCUGAGGCUUACAGAGAUCGAAGAGUAGAGGAUGCAUUGAGGCCACAGUUGAAGGAAAGAAGCCUGGAUUUCCACUGAAUUUGGGCUAAAUUUCCACUAUUCUUCUUCCUCUUCCUUAAGAUUCUGCUCAUUGGGUUACCCACCAACCCAGGAAACAGACUUAUCUCCUUAUCCUCAAGUUGCUGAAGGCAGGAAGAAUGAGCAAGGUUUUGCUCAAGGAAGAGCUAUUGUAACAAAAUAAUUGUAAUUAGUCUGAUAGUGCAGGGAAAGAAACUCCAUUUCUUCUGAGGAAUUCGGGGCAUUAUUUGCAUUUGAAAAAGCAAUCUCAUUAGAGCAGUAUGUUAUAUUAUAAGACAUUUUGCAGAAAAAUGUUUGAGAAGAACCAUAGCAGUCUCUUGCAUGUGCAUGUGUGCCCACACACAGACACACACACACUCUGAAUUUUCCACUUAAAAGUACAUAUACUUCAAUUAAAAAGCAAUUUGAAAAGUAAUAUAAAUUGAUCAGGGGAUGUUCCUAAAUUUAAAGAGGGAAAGACUUGUAGAGGUUUAAAAAUAAAAGGACUUGGGGUUGGAGGAACAGGCAUUAGGGAAAGCUAUAUGGCAAGGUUAAAAGAAUUGUGGAAUUAAUGCUAUUUAAAAAUAAUUGCAUUAGAAAUCUAGCUAAUGGGAAUUAGUCCAUUUCAUUGACUUAGAUAGUUAUAAAAUUAAUUCCUUUUUGUGGGAAUUUUAAUUGGGUGGCUACAACCAGAUGCACAUGAGGAAUCCCCUCCUGGUGCUAGAAUUGCAAUCAGGAUGUUCAAUUCAACAACAGAGUUCGAUUCAUCAAUUGGGUGAAUCUCCCAAUCUAAAAAGGUUCCGCAUAGCUACUAUGCACCUAAAAUUGCCCCCAAAUGGUUUUCUUACUUUCAUGUUAUUCUAAGUUUUUUACUCUUGGUGAAACCUCCUCACAUGCUAGGCUACUUGUCUAUUUUCAUCCCCCCUUAGCCUCACUUCCCAAAAUAUUUUAUCAUUUUCUCUUUUGGGUCAACAAUUACGGAAAAUAAAAUUAUUUCUAUUUCAAA
RNAcentral lists this long non-coding RNA (1289 nucleotides) under Homo sapiens (human). Its description in RNAcentral is "non-protein coding LINC02049:7". Lineage: Eukaryota; Metazoa; Chordata; Mammalia; Primates; Hominidae. The record is from RNAcentral.